AUUGAACGCUGGCGGCAGGCCUAACACAUGCAAGUCGAACGGUAACAGGAAGAAGCUUGCUUCUUUGCUGACGAGUGGCGGACGGGUGAGUAAUGUCUGGGAAACUGCCUGAUGGAGGGGGAUAACUACUGGAAACGGUAGCUAAUACCGCAUAACGUCGCAAGACCAAAGAGGGGGACCUUCGGGCCUCUUGCCAUCGGAUGUGCCCAGAUGGGAUUAGCUAGUUGGUGGGGUAACGGCUCACCAAGGCGACGAUCCCUAGCUGGUCUGAGAGGAUGACCAGCCACACUGGAACGGAGACACGGUCCAGACUCCUACGGGAGGCAGCAGUGGGGAAUAUUGCACAAUGGGCGCAAGCCUGAUGCAGCCAUGCCGCGUGUAUGAAGAAGGCCUUCGGGUUGUAAAGUACUUUCAGCGGGGAGGAAGGGAGUAAAGUUAAUACCUUUGCUCAUUGACGUUACCCGCAGAAGAAGCACCGGCUAACUCCGUUCCAGCCGCCGCGGUAA
RNAcentral lists this ribosomal RNA (506 nucleotides) under uncultured bacterium. RNAcentral describes it as "partial 16S ribosomal RNA". It matches the Rfam family "Bacterial small subunit ribosomal RNA", at positions 30 to 523 of the family's 1533-position model. The record is from RNAcentral.